CUACAACCCUCAGAUGCCGCCCCCCAAACCCCCCGCCCCUCUUCUCACAUAACACACAACACACCACACACAUACCACACACAUAUACAGAAAUGACGAAGAGAGGAAGAGAGGGAGCCGCCGUCACGUCGUCACCGUUCAGCCCACGCCGCCGCCGUGUUGCCACCGAGCCGCCGGUCACGAAGGGAAGAGAGACAGAGGCGCGCAGAGUUCAUGAGGGGAGAGAGAGAGAGGCCGAACGCGAGGAGGGAGGGAACCCUCGCCGUCGCUGUUCGUGGAGUCCGCGCCAGUACCGUCGUCGCCGUCGCCGUCGCAGAGGAGAAUCCCUGUAUCCGUGAGCUGCCGCCAUUGAAGCUUUUACUUCUGCUUUGCUGCUUCUGCUGUCACGCCGUUGUCCCUCUGGACGUCGCUGCUUCUGAAUCUUGCCCUAUCACUGGUUCUCUGCCUCCUCAUUGUGGCUCAACCUCUGUUUAGGUGUAAUUCUUGACUUUUUUUUUUUUAUUUUCUUACUGCAAACUUGUUUUCAAAGCAGACAACCUUGGUUGGGAAAUAUUGUCAAUUGCAGUGCCUUCUGCUAUGGCUUUGACAGCUGAUCCUAUUGCUUCACUGGCUGACACAACAUUCAUUGGCCGAAUAGGUUCAUUGAGUGGUUGGGUUGUUGCUGUAGUAGGAGCUGUCGUGAAAGCAUUGAGGAUGCAAAGAAGCUCAAAUCUCUUUUGUUUAUGAUUAGAUAAUGUUAUGACUUAGACUUUUAUUAUGUGAUUUAAAGUAUCUUAGUUUAUUUGAAUUCUAAAAUCUUUUUUUAUAGGUCACAAAUAUGUAUGAAUCUUAUAGAAUACGUUAUAAAUCAAAUGUUCAAUUAGUUUUCUUUA
Molecule: long non-coding RNA, 872 nt
Organism: Arachis duranensis
Lineage: Eukaryota; Viridiplantae; Streptophyta; Magnoliopsida; Fabales; Fabaceae
Exons: 3
Source: RefSeq, a predicted model, not a curated record